UAGGGAAUCUUCGGCAAUGGACGCAAGUCUGACCGAGCAACGCCGCGUGAGUGAAGAAGGUUUUCGGAUCGUAAAACUCUGUUGUUAGAGAAGAACAAGGAUGAGAGUGGAAAGUUCAUCCCUUGACGGUAUCUAACCAGAAAGCCACGGCUAACUACGUGCCAGCAGCCGCGGUAAUACGUAGGUGGCAAGCGUUGUCCGGAUUUAUUGGGCGUAAAGCGAGCGCAGGCGGUCUUUUAAGUCUGAUGUGAAAGCCCCCGGCUUAACCGGGGAGGGUCAUUGGAAACUGGGAGACUUGAGUGCAGAAGAGGAAAGCGGAAUUCCAUGUGUAGCGGUGAAAUGCGUAGAUAUAUGGAGGAACACCAGUGGCGAAGGCGGCUUUCUGGUCUGUAACUGACGCUGAGGCUCGAAAGCGUGGGGAGCAAACAGGAUUAGAUACCC
This 441-nucleotide ribosomal RNA is filed under the name uncultured bacterium. RNAcentral's name for it is "bacterial SSU rRNA". It matches the Rfam family "Bacterial small subunit ribosomal RNA", at positions 355 to 787 of the family's 1533-position model. The record is from RNAcentral.